ACUAAGCCAUGCGUGUCGAAUGUAGCAAUACAUGGCGUACUGCUCAGUAACACGUGGAUAACCUACCCUUGAGACGGGGAUAAACCCGGGAAACUGGGUAUAAUACCCGAUAGAUAUCGACUGCUGGAAUGCAUCGAGCUUGAAAGCUCCGGCGCUCAAGGAUCCCUCUGCGGCCUAUCAGGUAGUAGUGGGGUGUAGCGUACCUACUAGCCUACGACGGGUACGGGUUGUGAGAGCAAGAGCCCGGAGAUGGAUUCUGAGACACGAAUCCAGGCCCUACGGGGUGCAGCAGGCGCGAAAACUUUACAAUGCUGGAAACAGCGAUAACCCCACCUCGAGUGCCAGGUUACAAAUCUGGCUGUCGUGAUGCCUAAAAGCAUUGCAUAGCAAGGGCCGGGCAAGACCGGUGCCAGCCGCCGCGGUAACACCGGCGGCUCGAGUGGUAACCGUUAUUAUUGGGUCUAACCGUUAUUAUUGGGUCUAAAGGGUCUGUAGCCGGCCGGAUAACUGUCUCUUGGGAAAUCUGGCAGCUUAACUGUCAGGCUCUUCACGGAGAUAAUGUCUGGCUCGGGCCGGAGAGUGA
Molecule: ribosomal RNA, 583 nt
Filed under: uncultured euryarchaeote
Lineage: Archaea; Methanobacteriati; Methanobacteriota
Description: bacterial SSU rRNA
Rfam family: Archaeal small subunit ribosomal RNA
Source: RNAcentral